GGUGAGUAACACGUGGAUAACCUACCUAUAAGACUGGGAUAACUUCGGGAAACCGGAGCUAAUACCGGAUAAUAUAUUGAACCGCAUGGUUCAAUAGUGAAAGACGGUUUUGCUGUCACUUAUAGAUGGAUCCGCGCAGCAUUAGCUAGUUGGUAAGGUAACGGCUUACAAAGGCAACGAUGCGUAGCCGACCUGAGAGGGUGAUCGGCCACACUGGAACUGAGACACGGUCCAG
This 235-nucleotide ribosomal RNA is filed under the name uncultured Staphylococcus sp. RNAcentral's name for it is "partial 16S ribosomal RNA". It matches the Rfam family "Bacterial small subunit ribosomal RNA", at positions 105 to 334 of the family's 1533-position model. Lineage: Bacteria; Bacillati; Bacillota; Bacilli; Caryophanales; Staphylococcaceae. The record is from RNAcentral.